GUGAGGAAUAUUGGUCAAUGGGCGGGAGCCUGAACCAGCCAAGCCGCGUGAAGGAAGAAGGAUCUAUGGUUCGUAAACUUCUUUUGCAGGGGAAUAAAGUGCAGGACGUGUCCUGUUUUGUAUGUACCCUGAGAAUAAGGAUCGGCUAACUCCGUGCCAGCAGCCGCGGUAAUACGGAGGAUCCGAGCGUUAUCCGGAUUUAUUGGGUUUAAAGGGUGCGUAGGUGGUUUGAUAAGUCAGCGGUGAAAGUUUGUAGCUUAACUGUAAAAUUGCCGUUGAAACUGUCGGUCUUGAGUGCAAAUGAGGUAGGCGGAAUGCGUGGUGUAGCGGUGAAAUGCAUAGAUAUCACGCAGAACUCCGAUUGCGAAGGCAGCUUACUAAGCUACAACUGACACUGAAGCACGAAAGCGUGGGGAUCAAACAGGAUUAGAUACCCGGGUAGUCC
RNAcentral lists this ribosomal RNA (445 nucleotides) under uncultured bacterium. RNAcentral describes it as "partial 16S ribosomal RNA". It matches the Rfam family "Bacterial small subunit ribosomal RNA", at positions 354 to 796 of the family's 1533-position model. The record is from RNAcentral.